RNAcentral lists this non-coding RNA (27 nucleotides) under Mus musculus (house mouse). Lineage: Eukaryota; Metazoa; Chordata; Mammalia; Rodentia; Muridae. The record is from RNAcentral.
UCACUCAUCUUUUUGAGCAGAUCCCCU